Gadus morhua (Atlantic cod) is the source of this 77-nucleotide small nucleolar RNA. Ensembl annotates it as small nucleolar RNA SNORD61. The record is from Ensembl. Lineage: Eukaryota; Metazoa; Chordata; Actinopteri; Gadiformes; Gadidae.
GCAAUGAUGACCUUAUACAUUACUUGAUCAGCACUGAACUGAAACCAUAACAAUGUCCUCUAAGAAGUUCUGAGCUC